Non-coding RNA from Kluyvera intermedia, 150 nucleotides. The record is from Rfam. NCBI's taxonomy places the organism in Bacteria, Pseudomonadati, Pseudomonadota, Gammaproteobacteria, Enterobacterales, Enterobacteriaceae.
UUGACGGUGCUGCUUUUUCGACCUAAAUUAAAGGAACAAGGGUGAGAGGGGGUUUCUCCCCCCUCUGAUUGACUGUUAGUAAGCGUGGAAACUUAUCGUUAACAGAACAAUCAGUAUGAUGACGUGCUUCAUCAUAACCCUUUCCUUAUU